GGAAGGAUGUCCGAGCGGUUUAUGGUGCCAGUCUUGAAAACUGGUAGGUUAAUAGCCUCGCGAGUUCGAAUCUCGCUCCUUCCGCCA
This 87-nucleotide transfer RNA is filed under the name Candidatus Nomurabacteria bacterium. Its description in RNAcentral is "tRNA-Ser". It matches the Rfam family "tRNA". From Rfam's summary of the family: Transfer RNA (tRNA) molecules are approximately 80 nucleotides in length. Their secondary structure includes four short double-helical elements and three loops (D, anti-codon, and T loops). The record is from RNAcentral. Lineage: Bacteria; Candidatus Nomuraibacteriota.